Lagopus muta (rock ptarmigan) is the source of this 2085-nucleotide long non-coding RNA. RefSeq lists it as uncharacterized. The transcript is spliced from 4 exons. Lineage: Eukaryota; Metazoa; Chordata; Aves; Galliformes; Phasianidae. The record is from RefSeq and is a predicted model, not a curated record.
AUAGGAUAAUUGUCUUAAGGAAUUAACAUCUAUGGAAAAAUUAGGGCCUUGUUAAGACAUAGUGAAUACAAGUUUUGUCAAGAAUAAAGGCUAGAAAACGGAACAAGGGGACUCUAACUUGACUUGUCUUUGUCCUGGGCAGACUGCUUCUGUUCUUCUGUCUAUUGAAGUUUGAGAUGUGAUCCCUAAGUGUUUUGAGCUCUGUGGAAUAAAUGCUCAAUUCAGAAAGAGCGGGAGAAAAAAGAACUAAUUUCCUGAAGACUUUUUCCAAUCAAUCUGUGCAAUCGCCAUUCAACUGCGCUCCCAUUCCCAUAGGACAACUUCCCCAGACAGCACAUCUGCAGAGAUAAGGAUUGAGACCUGGCAAAAUAUCAGCUACUGGAAGAGAUAACAGUGAAGUAUUCCUUCUCAUCUGUAACGGGGGAAAUUCUGGGAUUCUCUCCUUUACCCUCAUGCUGUUUAGCUGAGUAAUUUUCCAGUAAUUCAGGAGCUGGCAACAGUGAAAGGCUGCAGCAGGAGCAGCACGAUGCUCUCACAACUGAAUGACUCCAGCAUAAGCAACAGGCCAGUGCAGGACAACUGCACUGCAAAAGUGACCUGAUGAGUGUCCUGAAUGUGAACAGCAGGCUGAUCUUUCCACUGUUGAAAGUGCUCCACGUGCCUUUGCACCCCUGUUUUUCUUGCUUGCUGCCUUUGAAGUCAUGUACUAUCCACCAUGAAGUCUGUUGUUUGAGACUGUGCUGACUUCCCAUCUAAUUAUUUUACUUUGGUCUAUUUUCAUGACUCUUAGAAGCAGAAUGCUGCAGUUAAAAAAAGAAAUCUGAACUGUCCAACCCUUUUUCUGUGCUGUAGCUUUCUUUGGAGAUGAUUGUCACUGAUGGAGCAUGAUGCUAUGGUAUUUGACUGUCUUUUCCAGCAGUUACCCUCUUGUUUUGUUUUGAUUCUGUGUAUGUAUUAGACCUCAACGCUUCUGUGUUCUCUAGUGUUUCUGUCAAGAACUAUUUCUUAGUUCACAUGCAUGCUUGAGUUGCAAAUCUGUCUUGAUGAGAUUGGCGUGCUAGCAGUAGAUUCUAUGAAUGCACAUGUUUUAAAAGCAAUUUCACCUGAGGAUAACAGCAGGCUGCUGUCUGGUUUUGAGAUGGACAAUCCUUGUACAGCCUAGAGAUUUUCAGUGUAGGAUUAGAACGUUGCUCAGGCUGCUCUCUUGGUGCUGUGAUUCCUUGUUGGAGUUGAAACUACCAAACGUAAAAAUCCUGGGCUGGAAGAACUACUUGAUCUAAAGUUUUCAGCUUAGAGAUGGGUAGUUCUACUUCUUGGAUGCUUUUACCAUUAUGAGAAAGGUAGGCCACAGGCUAGAAAGAAAUACUGCGUAACUGAGUGAGAGUGCUCAGGGUAUGAGAAGCAGGUAAGAGCUUUUCUCUUUCUCUGUCAGCACUUAAAGUGUUGUCAACACAGAAACACUUAGCUCACCUCUCUACAAACAUCAGGUGCAAAUGUUACCUGAAAUGGCAACUGCAACUGGGAAGUCCUGCUGGUUUCAGUUAGCAACUACAUCUGAAAUGUAGCAAGGGAAGCCUGUUUAUUCUGUUGUCUGGGUAUGUGGAUUCCACAAGAGGUGGUAAUACAGGCUGUUUUAAGAAGACUAACCUUUAUAAUUGUCUUAAAAACAAAAACAAACUUACAAAAAAACCCCACAACUGCAUAGCUGCUUUUAUGGUACCCUUCCAACUGGCCAGCACCGCAUCAUAACAUACAGGUCUGUCUCUGCUCUUUGCUAUUCUAUAUGUUUUUUGAUAAUAUAAUGAAAAAAGAUGUAUAGCUAGCUCUUUGCUUCUGUCUUUACCUGUGUGAUAGCAUGUGGAUCAAAGGUUAAGCUGAUCUUAUAAAGCUAGCUGUGAAACCUGAAGUCUGUGCUCACUGAUCUCGAGCUGCAGCUCUGUGUGUUUGAAAGACUUGUGGCUGUGCUGAAGUGUCUCCAAGCAAUGGGCUCUGUAUUCCCAUUCUGUAUCCAUACCUAAUUAACCAGAAUGUGUGGGUAGCACUGUGUGACUGUGACCUGAAAGUGUAUCUGGAAACAGAUGAUAC